This 444-nucleotide ribosomal RNA is filed under the name uncultured bacterium. RNAcentral's name for it is "bacterial SSU rRNA". It matches the Rfam family "Bacterial small subunit ribosomal RNA", at positions 354 to 796 of the family's 1533-position model. The record is from RNAcentral.
GUAGGGAAUAUUGGGCAAUGGUCGGAAGACUGACCCAGCCAUGCCGCGUGCAGGAAGACGGCCCUCUGGGUUGUAAACUGCUUUUAUCUGGGAAGAAAAAGGCCAUGCGUGGCAAAUUGCCGGUACCAGAUGAAUAAGCACCGGCUAACUCCGUGCCAGCAGCCGCGGUAAUACGGAGGGUGCGAGCGUUGUCCGGAUUUAUUGGGUUUAAAGGGUGCGUAGGCGGCUGAUUAAGUCAGCGGUGAAAGACUUCGGCUUAACCGGGGCAGUGCCGUUGAUACUGGUUGGCUUGAGUGUCGGAGGGGUACAUGGAAUUGAUGGUGUAGCGGUGAAAUGCAUAGAUACCAUCAGGAACACCGAUAGCGAAGGCAUUGUACUGGCCGACAACUGACGCUGAUGCACGAAAGUGUGGGGAUCGAACAGGAUUAGAUACCCGAGUAGUCC